ACAUAUUACCCGCCAGGGACUACAAGCACUAGCUUAAAACCCAAAGGACUUGGCGGUGCUCAAACCCAUCUAGAGGAGCCUGUUCUAUAACUGAUAAUCCUCGUUAAACCUCACCACUUCUUGUUAAUUCCGCCUAUAUACCGCCGUCGCCAGCUCACCUUGUGAAAGACUAAUAGUGAGCUUAAUGGGAAUAUCCCAGAACGUCAGGUCGAGGUGUAGCGAAUGAAGUGGGAAGAAAUGGGCUACAUUUUCUGGUCUCAGAAUAUUACGAAAGAUGUUAUGAAAUAUAACAUAAAGAAGGAGGAUUUAGCAGUAAAGAGAAAA
This 324-nucleotide ribosomal RNA is filed under the name Notacanthus bonaparte (shortfin spiny eel). Its description in RNAcentral is "partial 12S ribosomal RNA". It matches the Rfam family "Bacterial small subunit ribosomal RNA", at positions 860 to 1349 of the family's 1533-position model. The record is from RNAcentral. Lineage: Eukaryota; Metazoa; Chordata; Actinopteri; Notacanthiformes; Notacanthidae.